GCAUGGAGGCCUCUCUUGAGGUCAGGCAAGCGGGGGAAGGGGGAGGAGCAAGGUCUGAGUUCAGACCUCCAGGGCACUAUACUUCACGGAGCUGGAAGCCCAGUCAGGUCCCUGAUCAUGAUACCUGCUGGGAUCUCUGCAGGUCUUCUUUAUCUGGGUUACUGCAGGGAUUCUACCUUGAGCUUGCCAUAAACUGCUGUAGGGGUCUGACAGAAAUUUUCAGUGCAGAAGUGAAAAGAAAAAAACACGAAACCAAAACAGCAAAGACUCCAUGGGACAAGGGUAGAGAAGCCAGGAAGCCAGAGGCACUGUUGCAGCCAGCUGCAGGCUGUGAGCCGCCUACAGCACCAAGGGAGGAUAUACAUAUAGCCACAUGAGAAGAAAGAAUAUAAAAUUGUAAUUCUUGGAAUGAUUUUUGAGAAAAAUGUUUGAAUAUCACUUACCUCUGAGGCAGUUCUUUUGGAAAUUAUAAAUAUAUUUCUUUCUGGGGACAAAAGAAUGCCCAUCAAAAUGAAAGAUGAAGCAUGGAAUCUGAAUUCACAGCUGCUUUAUGCAAUAUGGAAGAAGUGCAGGGUUUCUCAUUUCAGUUUUCUUCUCAAAGAUUUAUAGAUAGAAGCCUAAAAUGAUAUAUUUAAAUUCUUUUAUAUUCUCUUGUCUGGCUGUGUAAAUGAUUGCAAUCAAUCAGGUUUUUUUUUUUUUUUUUGUUCAAGAAGAACCUUGAAAUGACAAUAUGAAAAUUUUUCACAUGUAAUUUCAGUUAUACAGUGGGAAAUGACUGACAGCUUAGCAGUGUCUCACUGUGGCAAGAAUAUGAUGGUAUUUUUGAGCAAAUAGUUUUACUUAAGAAAAGUAAAGUUACAAUAAGUUGACUUUUUAAAGUUUUCCUGGAAAAUGAUUCUGAAUAUCAC
Molecule: long non-coding RNA, 908 nt
Filed under: Oryctolagus cuniculus (rabbit)
Lineage: Eukaryota; Metazoa; Chordata; Mammalia; Lagomorpha; Leporidae
Description: lncRNA (ENSOCUG00000030255.1)
Source: RNAcentral